RNAcentral lists this ribosomal RNA (86 nucleotides) under Bacillota bacterium. The record is from RNAcentral. Lineage: Bacteria; Bacillati; Bacillota.
GUUCCCAUCCCGAACACAGAAGUUAAGCUCACAUGCGCCGACGAUACUUGCCGGGUGACUGGCCGGGAAAAUAGGUAAUGCCAACA